AGAGACAGCAGCCGCGCGGUAAUACGAGGGGAGCUAGCGUUGUUCGGAAUUACUGGGCGUAAAGCGCGCGUAGGCGGCUUUUUAAGUCAGAGGUGAAAGCCCGGGGCUCAACCCCGGAAUUGCCUUUGAAACUGGAAAGCUAGAAUCUUGGAGAGGUCAGUGGAAUUCCGAGUGUAGAGGUGAAAUUCGUAGAUAUUCGGAAGAACACCAGUGGCGAAGGCGACUGACUGGACAAGUAUUGACGCUGAGGUGCGAAAGCGUGGGGAGCAAACAGGAUUAGAUACCCCCGUAGUCCCUGUCUCUUAUACA
Molecule: ribosomal RNA, 309 nt
Filed under: uncultured bacterium
Lineage: Bacteria
Description: partial 16S ribosomal RNA
Rfam family: Bacterial small subunit ribosomal RNA
Source: RNAcentral